Molecule: ribosomal RNA, 409 nt
Filed under: Verrucomicrobiota bacterium
Lineage: Bacteria; Pseudomonadati; Verrucomicrobiota
Description: Verrucomicrobia bacterium partial 16S ribosomal RNA
Rfam family: Bacterial small subunit ribosomal RNA
Source: RNAcentral
UGGGGAAUAUUGCACAAUGGGCGGAAGCCUGAUGCAGCGACGCCGCGUGAGGGAUGACGGCCUUCGGGUUGUAAACCUCUUUCAGUAGGGACGAAGCGUAAGUGACGGUACCUGCAGAAGAAGCACCGGCUAACUACGUGCCAGCAGCCGCGGUAAUACGUAGGGUGCGAGCGUUGUCCGGAAUUACUGGGCGUAAAGAGCUCGUAGGCGGUUUGUCACGUCGUCUGUGAAAUCCUAGGGCUUAACCCUGGACGUGCAGGCGAUACGGGCUGACUUGAGUACUACAGGGGAGACUGGAAUUUCUUGUGUAGCGGUGGAAUGCACAGAUAUCAGGAAGAACACCGAUGGCGAAGGCAGGUCUCUGGGUAGUAACUGACGCUGAGGAGCGAAAGCAUGGGUAGCGAACAGG